Molecule: non-coding RNA, 813 nt
Organism: Pantherophis guttatus
Lineage: Eukaryota; Metazoa; Chordata; Lepidosauria; Squamata; Colubridae
Source: RefSeq, a predicted model, not a curated record
CCUAUCUAUCACAGGUUGUUGAGAGAUCGGCCAUAAAAUUAUACCUAUUCUCUGUUUGUGUCUAAUAUACAACUUUGACGGAUGCUGUUUUUAUUAGCCUUUAUAAAGUGAAUCAAGGGCUGAGUUUACACAUGUAUGUUUAUUGUUCAGGAGCUGCAACUUCAUCUGAUGACAUGCCAGUGAGAAAUAGCAGACCAAGAUCAAAUACUGUGGGAGAAACAACUACCAAAACAAACCAGAAUGAAGGAGAAAAGUGAUAGCGUCACCAAUAAGGCAUUAAAGAAAUUGAAAAAGAAGACGACUAGAAAGGGGAAUUCCAAGUACGGAAACCAAAGCAGAAUACCUUUAAAAUGCACAAAUACAUACAAUUUUUUUUUUCUGGACCGCUUCCAAAUGCCAUGAUCUUUCGUUAUCGUGCACCAGAAAAAUGAGCAAGAAAGAAGCUGUACAGACCUCUGCCUUCUGUCCUCAACAGAAAAAUUAAUAAUGAUGAGUAUCAUGAUAAAAUUCCCAUUAUGUAGUAGGUAAAUGUGGGGAAGGGAGUUUGACAGUGGGUGGUCAAAUUUAUAUUUUUAAAGGGUUAUAUUUUAUAAGUGUUUCCUGGCAACUUGCCAGAAUUAUUUUCUUUUAAAAAAAAUAGAUAACUGAAUGUAUAAAACCCACCUUUAUUUCACUCCCUCUUUUUUUAAAAAAAAAACAUGUUAGAAUCACACACCUUGAAUUGUGAUCAGGGAUCAGAAUAUUACUUCUGUACAGAAAUGUCCGUGGUUUUCCAAUUAAGACUUCUGGAAUCAAUAAACGAAUAAAUAGAAA